GACGAACGCUGGCGGCGUGCUUAACACAUGCAAGUCGAACGGAAAGGCCCUGCUUUUGUGGGGUGCUCGAGUGGCGAAAGGGUGAGUAACACGUGAGUAACCUGCCCUUGACUUUGGGAUAACUUCAGGAAACUGGGGCUAAUACCGGAUAGGAGCUCCUGCUGCAUGGUGGGGGGUGGAAAGUUUCGGCGGUUGGGGAUGGACUCGCGGCUUAUCAGCUUGUUGGUGGGGUAGUGGCUUACCAAGGCUUUGACGGGUAGCCGGCCUGAGAGGGUGACCGGCCACAUUGGGACUGAGAUACGGCCCAGACUCCUACGGGAGGCAGCAGUGGGGAAUAUUGCACAAUGGGCGGAAGCCUGAUGCAGCAACGCCGCGUGCGGGAUGACGGCUUUCGGGUUGUAAACCGCUUUCGCCUGUGACGAAGCGUGAGUGACGGUAAUGGGUAAAGAAGCACCGGCUAACUACGUG
Molecule: ribosomal RNA, 468 nt
Filed under: uncultured bacterium
Lineage: Bacteria
Description: partial 16S ribosomal RNA
Rfam family: Bacterial small subunit ribosomal RNA
Source: RNAcentral